UGGACCAUUGAUGAAGACUGGUGAUGUAGGAGUCACGGAUGAUGAAAAUAUGUGUCAGAAACUUUGAGGUCCAA
Diceros bicornis minor is the source of this 74-nucleotide small nucleolar RNA. RefSeq annotates it as small nucleolar RNA SNORD113/SNORD114 family. The record is from RefSeq and is a predicted model, not a curated record. Lineage: Eukaryota; Metazoa; Chordata; Mammalia; Perissodactyla; Rhinocerotidae. The transcript has a single exon.